RNAcentral lists this ribosomal RNA (450 nucleotides) under uncultured bacterium. RNAcentral's name for it is "bacterial SSU rRNA". It matches the Rfam family "Bacterial small subunit ribosomal RNA", at positions 29 to 524 of the family's 1533-position model. The record is from RNAcentral.
AACGAACGCUGGCGGCAUGCCUAACACAUGCAAGUCGAACGAACUCUUCGGAGUUAGUGGCGCACGGGUGCGUAACGCGUGGGAAUCUGCCCUUGGGUACGGAAUAACUCAGAGAAAUUUGUGCUAAUACCGUAUAAUGACUUCGGUCCAAAGAUUUAUCGCCCAAGGAUGAGCCCGCGUAAGAUUAGCUAGUUGGUGGGGUAAAAGCCUACCAAGGCGACGAUCUUUAGCUGGUCUGAGAGGAUGAUCAGCCACACUGGGACUGAGACACGGCCCAGACUCCUACGGGAGGCAGCAGUGGGGAAUAUUGGACAAUGGGCGAAAGCCUGAUCCAGCAAUGCCGCGUGAGUGAUGAAGGCCUUAGGGUUGUAAAGCUCUUUUGCCAGGGAAGAUGAUGACUGUACCUGGAGAAUAAGCCCCGGCUAACUUCGUGCCAGCAGCCGCGGUAAU